Molecule: ribosomal RNA, 279 nt
Filed under: uncultured bacterium
Lineage: Bacteria
Description: partial 16S ribosomal RNA
Rfam family: Bacterial small subunit ribosomal RNA
Source: RNAcentral
UGCCAGCCGCCGCGGUAAUACGAAGGGUGCUAGCGUUGUUCGGAAUUACUGGGCGUAAAGAGCAUGUAGGCGGAUGAAUUAGUCAGAGGUGAAAGCCCCGAGCUCAACUUGGGAACUGCCUUUGAUACUGUUUAUCUAGAGUCCGAGAGAGGUUAGUGGAAUUCCCAGUGUAGAGGUGAAAUUCGUAGAUAUUGGGAAGAACACCAGUGGCGAAGGCGGCUAACUGGCUCGGUACUGACGCUGAGAUGCGAAAGCGUGGGGAGCAAACAGGAUUAGAUA